This 492-nucleotide ribosomal RNA is filed under the name uncultured bacterium. RNAcentral's name for it is "partial 16S ribosomal RNA". It matches the Rfam family "Bacterial small subunit ribosomal RNA", at positions 29 to 507 of the family's 1533-position model. The record is from RNAcentral.
AGUGAACGCUGGCGGUAGGCCUAACACAUGCAAGUCGAACGGCAGCACAGUAAGAGCUUGCUCUUACGGGUGGCGAGUGGCGGACGGGUGAGGAAUACAUCGGAAUCUACUUUUUCGUGGGGGAUAACGUAGGGAAACUUACGCUAAUACCGCAUACGACCUACGGGUGAAAGCAGGGGAUCUUCGGACCUUGCGCGAUUGAAUGAGCCGAUGUCGGAUUAGCUAGUUGGCGGGGUAAAGGCCCACCAAGGCGACGAUCCGUAGCUGGUCUGAGAGGAUGAUCAGCCAAACUGGAACUGAGACACGGUCCAGACUCCUACGGGAGGCAGCAGUGGGGAAUAUUGGACAAUGGGCGCAAGCCUGAUCCAGCCAUACCGCGUGGGUGAAGAAGGCCUUCGGGUUGUAAAGCCCUUUUGUUGGGAAAGAAAAGCAGCAGGUUAAUACCCCGCUGUUCUGACGGUACCCAAAGAAUAGGCACCGGCUAACUUCGUG